CCUACGGGAGGCUGCAGUGGGGAAUAUUGCACAAUGGGGGAAACCCUGAUGCAGCGACGCCGCGUGAGUGAUGAAGUAUUUCGGUAUGUAAAGCUCUAUCAGCAGGGAAGAUAAUGACGGUACCUGACUAAGAAGCUCCGGCUAAAUACGUGCAAGCAGCCGCGGUAAUACGUAGGGAGCAAGCGUUAUCCGGAUUUACUGGGUGGAAAGGGAGCGCAGAUGGCAGGGCAAGUCGGAUGUGAAAGUCCGGGGCGCAACCCGGGGACUGCAUUGGAAACUGGCCGGCUAGAGUGCAGGAGAGGUAAGUAGAAUUCCAAGUGUAGCGGUGAAAUGCGUAGAGAUUACUCGGAACACCGAUUGCGCAGGCAGCUUGCUAAUCCGCAUCUGACGCUGAUGCACGAAAGCGUGGGUAGCGAACAGGAUUAGAUACCCCGGUAGUC
This 440-nucleotide ribosomal RNA is filed under the name uncultured bacterium. RNAcentral describes it as "partial 16S ribosomal RNA". It matches the Rfam family "Bacterial small subunit ribosomal RNA", at positions 338 to 795 of the family's 1533-position model. The record is from RNAcentral.